GACCCGUGUCACAGACUCUCAGAAAGCACAGUGAGAGUUCCCCUGGUUGAGAAUCGCAGGCUGCCGCUGGCUUCCCCCACUUCCCUGGGCACAUCGGAGGAGGGGGCCACAGCUGGUCCCUGGUCUGUGUUCCCUGGCACCUCUGAGCAGCCUGGAAUUCUCAGUGGGGGUGCUCACCUUCCUGGUGGAAAUCCCCAGGGUGUUGGAGACAGGUCCAAAAUUUCAAGUUCUAGGCGCUUUUGCUCUGCUCUGUUUGGAGUGUCUGGGUGACCUCAAGGAGAAGUCACUUCCUCACAGUGGGUUCUGAUGACUCCAUCUGUAAAAAAGAAGUUGCAACAGGUGGCCUCUGGGCUGUAAGAUUCUGGGACCCUAUCUUGCCUGGGACUGAGGCAACCAGAAGGAGCAGGAAAGCCCUGAUGAAAUCCAAGGCCUAGGACCACAGACUCCUCAGGGCCCUCCCCACACCACCCCACUCAGGAAGUCAUAGGUGGCUACAUGCUCCGGUCAGGUGCCACCACUUUACUGCCUCAAGGAGAACAAAGCGCUAAACAAAUGCAAGAUCACAGCAGCUGGUCUCAGCAUCCAAGUGGGAUGUAGAUCCACAUUUGCAGGAAAAGUGCACUGGGGAAACGAUGGCUCCCAGAAUGUGUACUGUGUGCUGGGCAACAGUUUCCCUCCAAAUCCUUACAGCAACCUGCAAGGAAUUCUUCUGCAGCUGUAUAUAGGGUCAGAGAAGCAAGAUGCCUGGUCCAAAGGCACACAGCCUCUGGUAGUGGAGUGGGAUUCACACCAGGGCUGUGGGGCCCCAAGCUCUGUGUGCUUGGGAUGGAGAUCAGAGUACCCAGCUCUUGUCUCAUCUAUCAAAUGGAGAAGACAAUCCCUACACAUCUUUCCAUCCUGCUUGGCUGCUACAGAGGUUUUGCAAACUUUCACAGUGGUUUCAGAUCAUGGGUUUUGAGGUCAGACAGAGCUGAGUUGAAAUCCUGGGUCCACUGCUUACUAACUGUGGGCCCUGGGACAAAGUCCUUAACUUCCCUGAAACUCAGAUUCUGCAUCUGUAAAAUGGGACAAUAAUACCUAUUUCACCCAUUUGUUGUGAUGACUAAAUGAGAUAGUGGGUCAAAGUGUGGUGUGUAACCCAAGUGAAGUACUUGAAUGACAUUUGGCUCAGAUGGUGACUACAGGCCUUCCAGCUCCUCAGAGAAAAGGAUUAAAGUGGUGCAUUAUGCUUAUACUGUGCUUUCACGUCUAUCUACUGGAGCCUCAACAGGUGGGCAGGGCAGGUCAUCUGGCCUGAGAUACAUUAAACUGCCCACCUGCCCUGGUGUAACACCAGGGCUGCCACAGGCUGGUGGCAAAGACAGCACGGCAUCUUACCGCCACAAUGUACAUCAGGACCUCCACCCCCAUAACAAACGACCUCCAGGCCUGCAUCAAGACUAUCAGAAGACACUCCCUUUUAACUGUGUACCCCAUACCUGCAAGCUUUCCUGCAGCCAGCCCUACCUGUUCCCUCCUUCCCCUGGUUUGGGAUAAAACAG
This 1541-nucleotide long non-coding RNA is filed under the name Homo sapiens (human). RNAcentral describes it as "HSALNT0354727". The record is from RNAcentral. Lineage: Eukaryota; Metazoa; Chordata; Mammalia; Primates; Hominidae.